Molecule: ribosomal RNA, 460 nt
Filed under: uncultured bacterium
Lineage: Bacteria
Description: partial 16S ribosomal RNA
Rfam family: Bacterial small subunit ribosomal RNA
Source: RNAcentral
CCUACGGGUGGCAGCAGUGAGGAAUAUUGGUCAAUGGGCGCUAGCCUGAACCAGCCAAGUAGCGUGAAGGAUGACUGCCCUAUGGGUUGUAAACUUCUUUUAUAUGGGAGUAAAGUGAAGUAUGUAUACUUCUUUGCAUGUACCUUAUGAAUAAGGAUCGGCUAACUCCGUGCCAGCAGCCGCGGUAAUACGGAGGAUCCGAGCGUUAUCCGGAUUUAUUGGGUGUAAAGGGAGCGUAGGCGGGGAUGUAAGUCAGGUGUGAAAGUAUGCGGCCCAACCGUGAUACUGCAGUUGAUACUGGAUGCCUGGAGUACGGUAGAGGUAGGCGGAAUUCGUGGUGUAGCGGUGAAAUGCGUAGAUAUCACGAAGAACUCCGAGGGCGAAGGCAGCCUGCUGGACUGUAACUGACGCUGAUGCUCGAAAGUGUGGGUAUCGAACAGGAUUAGAUACCCGGGUAGUC